RNAcentral lists this transfer RNA (92 nucleotides) under Desulfobacterales bacterium. Its description in RNAcentral is "tRNA-Ser". It matches the Rfam family "tRNA". From Rfam's summary of the family: Transfer RNA (tRNA) molecules are approximately 80 nucleotides in length. The record is from RNAcentral. Lineage: Bacteria; Pseudomonadati; Thermodesulfobacteriota; Desulfobacteria; Desulfobacterales. RNAcentral also lists the same sequence under 2 other names.
GGAAGGGUGGCCGAGCGGUUGAAGGCGGCGGCCUCGAAAGCCGUUGAGGGUCUUUUGGCUCUCCGUGAGUUCGAAUCUCACCCCUUCCGCCA